This 329-nucleotide unclassified non-coding RNA is filed under the name soil metagenome. RNAcentral's name for it is "partial contains 5.8S ribosomal RNA, internal transcribed spacer 2, and large subunit ribosomal RNA". The stretch from base 1 to 120 matches the Rfam family "5.8S ribosomal RNA", at positions 35 to 154 of the family's 154-position model. The record is from RNAcentral.
GAUGAAGAACGUAGCGAAAUGCGAUACGUAAUGUGAAUUGCAGAAUUCAGUGAAUCAUCGAAUCUUUGAACGCACAUUGCGCCCCCUGGUAUUCCGGGGGGCAUGCCUGUCCGAGCGUCAUUACAACCCUCAAGCUCAGCUUGGUGUUGGGCCCCGCCGCCCCGGCGGGCCCUAAAGUCAGUGGCGGUGCCGUCCGGCUCCGAGCGUAGUAAUUCUUCUCGCUCUGGAGGUCCGGUCGUGUGCUCGCCAGCAACCCCCAAUUUUUUUCAGGUUGACCUCGGAUCAGGUAGGGAUACCCGCUGAACUUAAGCAUAUCAAUAAGCGGAGGA